Molecule: ribosomal RNA, 440 nt
Filed under: uncultured bacterium
Lineage: Bacteria
Description: partial 16S ribosomal RNA
Rfam family: Bacterial small subunit ribosomal RNA
Source: RNAcentral
CCUACGGGAGGCAGCAGUGGGGAAUAUUGCACAAUGGGGGAAACCCUGAUGCAGCGACGCCGCGUGAGUGAAGACGUACUUCGUUAUGUAAAGCUCUAUCAGCAGGGAAGAAAAUGACGGUACCUGAGUAAGAAGCCACGGCUAACUACGUGCAAGAAGCCGCGGUAAUACGUAGGCGGAAAGCGUUAUACGGAUUUACUGGGUGUAAAGGGAGCGUAGACGGCAGUGCAAGUCUGGAGUGAAAGUCGGGGGCUCAACCCUCGGACUGCUCUGGAAACUGUACGGCUUGAGUGCAGGAGAGGUAAGUGGAAUUCCUAGUGUAGCGGUGAAAUGCGUAGAUAUUAGGAGGAACACCAGUGGCGAAGGCGGCUUACUGGACUGUAACUGACGUUGAGGCUCGAAAGCGUGGGUAGCAAACAGGAUUAGAUACCCUUGUAGUC